Molecule: long non-coding RNA, 5637 nt
Organism: Mesocricetus auratus (golden hamster)
Lineage: Eukaryota; Metazoa; Chordata; Mammalia; Rodentia; Cricetidae
Exons: 7
Source: RefSeq, a predicted model, not a curated record
CUCCCCUUCUCCUUUUCCUCCCUCCGUCCUCCCCUCCCUCCCUCCUCCCUUCCCAUCCUUCUUUUCUUCCUUAUUUUGAGAUGGAGGUCUUACUCUGACACCCCCUUCCCACACGGAUUUUGAAUCUGUGGACAUAAAUGUGAUCCUCCUGCCUCAGUUCCUCUGACCCUGGGAGUACAUGCAUGCACGCAGCACAGCCUUGGUCUCUCCUUUCCAAGAUGUCCCCUCUGCUCUUUGUCUCUGCCUAUUUUCCCUGCCAGUAGCAGCCACUGCCUCUAUUUGGCAUCCACUUUCUAUGAGGUCAUCUUCACACCACUGGCUAUUCCCUUCGGCAUGCAAGCUCGCCGGCAGUGACUCGAUGUUUACGACCGUACUGGCCUAUGAGGAUCAUGGUGUGGAAGAAUGAAGCCUUGCUGGCGCCAAGCUAAGUGUAGACAAGUUCUUGGGAGGGGGACAGGGAGAGGGAGCCAACAGUAGGAUGAUGGGGAUACCUGUGUUGGGGGAGAGACCUCUCUUCAGUCCUGGCAUGACAUCUAGUCCAGACAGGAAGAAAAUGACAUUCAUGUUCAGUCUAGCUCGUGCUAUUGCUCGGAGGAGGAAAUGGAGCCGUCUUGUUCACAAGCCAGGACAAACACAUUCCCUGUAGCCAGCGCAAAGUAUAAGUGCAGGCGCAGUGUCACCAGCCACCUUACGCGUCGGCUAGCACGCUUUCUCCACCACGAGGGACUGCAUUCUCAAAUGGCGACUGGAGAGAACUCUUCCUUUCUUCAAUGGCCUUUACCAGGUAUUUUGUUACAGCCACAAGAAACUGAAAUAAUGCAGAGGGGGUGGUUCUGAGGGUAAGAAUGAGCAGGCAGGCGGGUGAAUCAGUGAGAUGUUGCAACCAUCUCUAAGACCAGUGAGAUCACAUGUUUUGUCUGCACCGCAGCUCACGUGUGCACAAGCAUGAGACACAACUCAUAAUUUUGUCUAGAAUUAUAGUUUCUUCUCUGGCGGGGAGGGGUCUUCUGACUUGAUGAAGGGAGUGAUCUCUUGGAACCUCAUCAUUUCUAAUCCUAAUUCAGUCUGGUCAUUAAACAGCCUCUCUAGUUGACUAUUUAGCCAUCAAAUGUGUAGAUAGUAAUGACACUGUACCCCUCUUUGUGAGUUGGUAACUUCUGAGAUAUUUUCAGGGAUCAGUGUUUCUGGUGACAGUAGGACAUUCCAUGGUCCCUAAGCUCAUUUGGUUGCUAGAGAGAGUGGUGGCUACUUACUUUGUCAUCUGUGUACAUGUAUUAGUCUGGGUCACUGAGCCAUCUCUGAGUGGAUUGAUUCAUGGGUCUGACAAUACCACCCAAGAAUCAAAAGUGACAUCAGAAAAUAAUCUCUAAAUUGUGUUUUAUUUUAUCCCCUUGUUUGGGGGGAUAUGACCCCACAUGCCAGGGUAUAUGUGUGGAGGUCACAGGGCAACUUGUAGGAACUGGUUCUCUUUCCACCAUGAAGGUUCCAGGGAUGGAACUCAAGUCAUCAGGCUUGGGAGCAAGCACUUUGUCUUGUGAUCCAUCUCACUGGACAGAGAGCUGUCUUAAUAUUCCUGUCACUGAACCAGGUAGUGCGAACUGAGAGGGUUCUCCAUUGCCAGGAGGACUCUGCUUUCCCUUGGGGUACUUACAGGGAGAAGAGCCUGCCAACUUCAACACUCCUCAGCAUGUUUCACUCUAAAACCUAGUGAUGCAUCCCAAUAAAGUCUCCACCCAAUAUAUAGUCAUGCUGGCAUCACAGAAGCACAAGCUGGUACUGCCUGCUCAGCACGGUCCCAAUCCUUUUUCCAUUCUGAUGAGGUCUACUCUCCAUGCACUCCUAAAAGUCAAGGAGUAAGCAUCAGGACAUUGUUGGAUGCUUGUACAUAGUUGCUGAAUCAAAACUUCACACUUGUCUUUGAAGAACAGAGGGAAAAGUCUGUAAGUCUCACCUAUUACUAAAUUGUCCCUCAUCAACAGCAGGUGGGGAAGUGUGCUUUAAGGGGACCCUGCAGAUAAACACAUCAAGGUCCCUGUCAAGACAGGCGGCAUUUGAAUCUCUGGAACCCAAGCUAAUGCUGUCUCAGAGGACUUGGAGUUAGUGGGGCAUUUAUUGCACAGCCAAUGACUUGUAAACACACCUUGUCACUACAUGUGCUCAAGCAAUUACUGGACAAUUAUACCUGCAAAGUACCUGGUAAUUAAUAGAAGGAGUCUUGUGUGGGCUGCCAUUUGGGAAGCAGUGGCUAUUCUUUCACUUCACUGGAAUGAUUACGUCCUCUGGAGAAGACCUAAUGCCUUCAAGAAGCAGUAGGCAAGGGAUCCACUUACAAAGUAACUGAAUUACACAGAGGAGAUAGCUCUGACUUCAAGACAGAGCCAAGCAGUUCUUCCCAGGUAAGGAGAAAGGUAUGAUGAGCGAGAACCAUGCCCACAAAUGCCACAGUCCAGGUGUACAUAGGGAGCCGACACUUAGGAAGCAACCAUAGGGCUUUCCAACAAGCAAGCACCCAUGAGAAGAGAUCUGCCAGGCUCUAGGCCCUAUGUGCAUUGCUUUCUACAUAUGGACUUGUUUCAUUGUCAAGCUGUAAGAAAAACAUUAUUAACAUUAUUUUAAAUAUUUAUGUAUUAAUUUUGACUAUGGGUAUGCACACAUGUCUAUGUCUCUGUGUGUAUGCUCACGUGCGAAUGCACUGUUCCCCGAGGCCAGAAGAGGGUCUCCUGGAGUUGGGAGUUGCAGAUCACUUGAAGUGGAUGCUGGGGACCAAACUUGGCUGCUCAUGUGAGUAGCAGGCUGUCUUUCCUCCCUGCUACUUUCUCCUACUACUGAUUUAUACCCUGGGCUCCUGAUAUACAAUUCCAGGCGAGUGAAAUUUAUCCAUGCACAUAGACAUUGAAGUACAGUUUUACUUGUUUAUAAUCUACAGCCUUAGUCCAUGUAUGUAGCUAAAACAAAUGGUGAAAAAGGAGGUGGUUUUUAAAUCCUGAGAUCUGGAAGCCCAAGGUUCACGUGCUGGCUGAUAAAGGCGCCUGGGACGCACUCACUUCCUCAUAGAUAUAUGUCUGCUCACGUGGAGGGAGACAUAAGAGUCUCCUUUAUGAGAGCACCAGCCAAUUGUAGGAGGGUGCACGCUAUUGACUUUAAUCACUUCCCUAAGUGUCUUCACGGAAAACUUCCACCACCAUAGGAACCAGGGUUUUAGCAUGACUUUUUAGAAAACUGUGGGACAUCUGUACACUGUGAAGAUAUAUUGGUGGGAUUGGUGAAGUAAAAAGCUGAAUCAUCAAUAGCUAGACAGGAAGUAUAGACGGGACUUCUGGAGAGAGAGAGAACUCUGGGAAGAAGGAGGGCAGAGACUUUGAAAAAGCAAGAGGGACAGUAUGGAGAUGGGGUAAAGCCACAUGGCAGAACGUAGAUUAAUAUAAAUGGGUUAAUUUAAGUUAUAAGACCUAGUGGGACAAGCCUAAGCUAAGGCUGAGCUUUCAUAAUUAAUAGUAAGUCUCAGUGUCGUUAUUUGCGGACUGGUGGUCCAGAGAAAAAAGCUUAUGCAUGUGCCUUUAUUUAUACUUGUCCCUCAGCCGAAGGGAGGUGCUCUGGCUGACUGGACUGUGAGAUGUUGGUGAAUGAGUUAGCCAUCAUUCCAUUGAUGAUACACUUAUAAAAUAUCUCAUUCCCUCUCCUAGGACAGAAUGAGAAAGAAAAAAUAAAACAUGAGCUCAUAUCUGCUGUUACUGUCUCCCAGGGUGUGUCCCAGAUGGAAGAACUGGAGAAGCCCAUAGUGUUGGUGUCUUCAAGUGGGCAAGGGAGCCUGAAGAAGGCCAGCUCAUGUGGCUGAAGGUUGAGGAACUGGGGAGCUGUUUGACCACGUGGUUUUUGUGUUGGAAGCAGAAGCGUUAACACUGACUGACUGUCUACCUGGUCCCAGCCCCCACAGCCGCUGUUCUGUGAAUCACAUCCCGUUCUAAUUCAGCAGAGCACAAUCAGAGUUUAAAGGUGAGAACCACGGCUCUAGGGCAACUCUGGGGAAUGAAGACUGGAUUCCUGACUUCUUAGUAUAAUAAUCCAGAGUGGAGAGUAUCAAGAAGGCCAGGCAGAGACAAGAGCCAGCAGACCCAAGAGCUUCUCCACUCUGCCAGGCUUUCCUGUCCCAGAAAUACAGCAGAAGCAACAGGGGACAGAAAAGGAAGUGUUAUAGAGCUGGUGAAGAGACCCGUGGAAAAGGCAUGAAGGAGGUCCUGAGACAAAAAUUAGAGUGCAGAGGUCUGCUCAUAGCAGGAUUGCAAGAGCUGAGCCUGGUGGUGCAAGCCUAGCAUCUCAGGACACCGGGACUAAAAGGAGAGGCCUCAAACACAACAUCAGCCUCUGCACAGUGUGUUGCAGCCUGCCUGACCACACGGUGAGACAGUCUAAACACACAGGCAAAGAAAACAGAUAGCCUCGGUAACGGUGGCAGAGAUGUGGAUGGGGACAAGAGACAGGGAAGAGAGGACGCCCAUAAAGAUGGCUAUCCACCGCUACUGUGGGCAACUGGCGGGCAAUACUGCUGGAGGGUUCCACGAGAUGUGUUUCAGCGGGCACUGCCAGAGGGGAAGAGGAAAUGGGGUAUUGACACCAACUCUGUUACCAUGGGUUGGGUGUGCUCCUGAAAUGGACAUUAACUCUCUUGCAGCUGGCUCCCUUUAGAUAGGGAAACCUGCCUCUGGUGACAGGGGAAACACAGGCGCUGAUGGAUGAAAGGUGAUCUUUGUGCUCUGACAUGAAAAGGGCAAUGAUGAUCGCACAGAAACCCCGCAUUCCAGUCACAUCAUGAAAAGUUGGUUCUCCACCGAGGCUGUUUGUGCUGUUGACUGUCUUGCUCAGUGCAACAUUGCUGACUCCUGCUUUAGUGUCCCUCCUGUGUGGUGCUUACUCUCUGAUCCAGAAAAGAAAUAAGCAAAACAGCUCAAGAUUUCACUUAGAUGCCUAUAGCUCAGGUUCAUGUGUGAUGCUGUCUCCUGGAUCAUCUCCCAAAACAUCACCGGGUUUCCGAGGAGACAAGGCUGGACAGAGAUGUUAAGUGCUGAAGCCGUUGCCCAUAGGAUGGAAAGAACAGAUGUCAGUGAAGCAAUGACUACAAACAAGAGAGGAGGCAGGAAGGCUUCAGCGGCUUGAGGGAUGUCCCUUCGCUCUUGAACUUUGAGCAGACACUGAUGGACACUACCGACAUGGCAAGGCUGUGUUGCUAAGAGAGUGAAUGGUGGUGCCGGGCACUGAGUUUGGAAGGGUACUCGGAGUCACUGGGUACACCUUUUUCACUUUCAGAGAAUAUGGAGGUUCACAGAAGUACAGUGACAUGUUCACAGUUAUGUAAUGGUUGGUGGCCGGCCACAGAAAGGCGAUCACUCAGGAAGACACUGCAGUGUUACCAAGCAUCCUUUUCUAAGGUUCACAACGAGUUUCCGUCUCUUAAAUAUGAAUACAACAUGCCACAUAAUCAUUGUAGAAGUCAUUGUUCUGUGAACGCAUGUUUCACAGAAGCAUCCCUAGACCACAUACUCAGAGUGCCUCCUCAAGUUUGAGUGUAUCAUGAAUACUGCCAAAGAUUGUAGACUGGGCAGUGGGGGGGGGAGGGGCUAAUAAAGGUUUGUUCUAUAUCCA